GCGCCACUAGCUCAACUGGAUAGAGCAAGGCGUUUCUACCGCCUAGGUUACAGGUUCAAGUCCUGUGUGGUGUACCA
This 77-nucleotide transfer RNA is filed under the name Shewanella sp. RNAcentral's name for it is "tRNA-Arg". It matches the Rfam family "tRNA". From Rfam's summary of the family: Transfer RNA (tRNA) molecules are approximately 80 nucleotides in length. Lineage: Bacteria; Pseudomonadati; Pseudomonadota; Gammaproteobacteria; Alteromonadales; Shewanellaceae. The record is from RNAcentral.